UACCUCGCGUGACUGAAGCAUCUCAUUAUAUCUAAUUUGGUUUUACUGCUAAUUUUGUCAUACGUGGUUGAGACUGUCGGAGGAGGCCUGGGUUUGGGCCUGUUUAGCCAUGGACCUUUCGUUCUUGUGAUGUUCUCAUGUGCAGAAACAAUCAUUCAUUUGUUAGUCCGAUACAGGAGAUGACUAAUGGGCAGUUGAUGUAAGAUGAUGGAGGCGCCCCUGCUUCAAGAUUUGGACUUGUCGGUAAAAGCAAACUGAAGUGCCAGCUUGGUGAUGUCAGAGAAUCUUGAAAAUGAAGAAGGUGAAGCAAUCGCCAAACACGCCAUCAUUAUUAUUCAUACAGCUGAAAGAGAACCAACUUCGAAUAUUCCCAAAAAAAAAAAAAAAAAAUGGUGCUUAUUUCCUACUCAAUGCUAUCCGUUCUGUGCUCCUCCAUGCCAUGCCAUGGUCUAUUCCAAGUAUUGUGGAACUACAGCGAUAUUCUGACUAAAGACUAAACUUUUAUUUUACCUCGUCACCCCAACAUCUCCAACAUAAUCAUGCAUUCUGCAACGGGUAAGCAUUCUUUGUCGUUUUUUUUUUUUUGGCCUUUUUGGCGGAUAAGAAAUAACCCCAUCCAUUUAUCUUCCAGAUAAUUAGCAGCUAAGGAAAUGACACUUUUGCAUGAACAAUGAUUGAAAAAAAUGGUCCACCUACCUUGUAACGGACUAGAACAAGCAAUUUGGACUGCUACUAUUAUUGCAAAUCAUAGACCCCGGCCUCGUCUGUCUAAUUGCCAUCUCUCGUGUCGUGCCGUAAUUCAUUGGCACAUGUUCACGGCAUUCUCAAUUUUGCCUAUACAAAGAUUGCGUGAUGCAGAUUCGGGUUUUUUGUGCUACCAGAACACUACUAUUUGGAUUUGCCGUUUCAGUGUUGAACGCUGGCCGGCCGUGUAUCACAGGUAGAGGUGCCAAUAAGAGUUGAAUUAUGUUGACCCGCCCGCUAAUAAGUUGAUUUGGAUAUGCAAUGAAUUUUAAAUGGGUCAUCCAAUCAAAUUCAUUUAAUUGAUGGGUAUUGGAUUGACUCGGCUCAAUCAUUUAUACUGGUUUUAAAAAAAUAUUUAUAUAUUUAAACUCAAAUUUGAAUGGGUAUUAAGUAAAUAAAUUUGAAUUUUCAAUCAAUCUAAUAACAAUAAAAUGUUGUUAUUUAUUGUCGAACGAGAUGCAAAAAAAUUUAAAAAAAUAAGUAGAAUUUGAAGUAAAUCACAAAUGAAUUAUUUAUAAAUACACACCUAUACUUAUUUAUUAAAUCAGUAUGAAUGAGUUGAUCCAAUUAUGAUUCAUCCAAACUCGUCCCAACCACCUAUUUUUACACCAUUAAUUAAUCAUAAAAUUAUUCAUAGUCAGUCGAUACUCAUUAUUGUUGUGACAGUUAGACAAGUGGCUCUUUUAUUUGUCUUGCAUUGCUCGUUUUGCCCGCAUAGGUAACGGUACAAUCAAAUAUGAGGAUAAGGAUAAACAAACCAAAAAAAUAGAACAACAGAGCCCAAAGGAUUUCCGUUUUAUUUGUCUUAAUUAAUGUUUUCAUCGGUUGCGAGGAAAAGGACGACGGUAGAAGAUCUUCCGGCCGUAACUCGUGUGAGGAUAUUAAUUUAAUAAGCUGACCUCUCUGAAAGUAGGAAACAUCCCACUUUAUUCUUCCUUCUUCACUCUGUGUCGUCUGUUUCUAAUGGACCUUCCAAGCAAAUAUUCUUCCUAAUAAUCCCGUUCCUUUCCCUUUUUAAUCACUAAUUAAUGUCUGUUUCAUGCAUAACUAUGAUCAGAAUAGCUCUCAAUUCUUAUCGCUCUACUUCAGCUUCUCAUUUAAAUGUUUUAAUUUGUAAUUGCUAUUCUCCUCAAGCUCUUUAAGUAAAAUUGAAGAGCCCUAAGUAGGGCAAAAAUUAAUUAACGUGGAAAAGCCUUUUGCUUGUUUGGAGACAUGGUUUCUACUUCGUGAUUCAGCAAAUGAAAAAAAAAAUAUAUAUAUAUAUAUAUAAAAUACUAUCAUAAAUGUUUUAGAUAAAUUUUCACAAAAGAGUUACACGGUCAAUCUAAACAAGUGAUAAGCAAUGACUCACUCCUUGUGAGCCGAAUAUGUUCAAGCAUAUGCCUUGAUAAUAGCAUGCUUAAUACAAACUAAUCAUAACAAUUUUUUGAUUGGUCAUCACAGUCUACAAUCGUAUUCAUUAUCAAAUUUUAUAUAAAUAUCAACAAAUUUGACAAGUAAAGAUCAUGACAAGUAAAACUAUUAAGAUUACCCAAUAUCCAGACAGGAAAUGACAAGUCUACAGUCAUAUUCAAUUCAAUAAUGAUAAACAACUAAUGAAAAAAAAUACUCUACAAACUCGGCUUUUCGCAUAGGAUAUUCACUUUUUGACACACAAGAUACUAAAAAUAACUUACUAUAGUUUAGCUUGCACCGAAAGGGAUGCGAAGGAAUGGAGAUGCUGCGACGAGAGCACUCUACCCAUGUUUGGACUUUGAAGCAAAUUCCCACAUAUAUGCGUGCGUUGUUGUGAAGAACUCCAAAAGCCUAGGGGCAGAAAUAGAAGAAAAACUUGACUGAAGAGGGUUUAUUCCUUUUCAAAGGUCUUGUAGUGGUGUCACCAGCUUAAGCAUAUACCACAAAUGGAUCCGAAUCUUCUGCUGUGAAUGCCAAAAAAGUCAGAAAAAGAAGAAAAAUACAAAAAUAAAUUGGAAUAUUCUUCUUGCAGUUAAUGUUUGAAAUUUGAUGCCAUCAAUAGGGGAGGAAAGGACCACCCGCUGAACAAGACUUAAUCCCGAAUUUACCCU
This 2810-nucleotide long non-coding RNA is filed under the name Coffea arabica (coffee). RNAcentral's name for it is "long non-coding RNA (CARA_LNC003996)". Lineage: Eukaryota; Viridiplantae; Streptophyta; Magnoliopsida; Gentianales; Rubiaceae. The record is from RNAcentral.